RNAcentral lists this ribosomal RNA (247 nucleotides) under uncultured bacterium. RNAcentral's name for it is "partial small subunit ribosomal RNA". It matches the Rfam family "Bacterial small subunit ribosomal RNA", at positions 26 to 285 of the family's 1533-position model. The record is from RNAcentral.
AGAAUCAACGCUGGCGGCGUGCCUAACACAUGCAAGUCGCACGAGAAAGGGUAGCAAUACCUGAGUAAAGUGGCGCACGGGUGAGUAACACGUGAAUUAUCUACCUCCGAGUGGGGAAUAACUGAGAGAAAUCUUAGCUAAUACCGCAUAACACUUACGAGUCAAAGCAGCAAUGCGCUUGGAGAGGAGUUCGCGGCCGUAUUAGUUAGUUGGCGGGGUAAUCGGCCCACCAAGACGAUGAUCGGUA